UACAGAGGGGGCAAGCGUUAUUCGGAAUUACUGGGCGUAAAGCGUGCGCAGGCGGUUCGUUAAGUCAGAUGUGAAAGCCCCGGGCUCAACCUGGGAACUGCAUUUGAAACUGGCGGGCUUGAGUAUGGCAGAGGGGGGUGGAAUUCCGCGUGUAGCAGUGAAAUGCGUAGAGAUGCGGAGGAACACCGAUGGCGAAGGCAGCCCCCUGGGCCAAUACUGACGCUCAGGCACGAAAGCGUGGGGAGCAAACAGG
This 253-nucleotide ribosomal RNA is filed under the name uncultured bacterium. Its description in RNAcentral is "partial 16S ribosomal RNA". It matches the Rfam family "Bacterial small subunit ribosomal RNA", at positions 524 to 776 of the family's 1533-position model. The record is from RNAcentral.